UCUAAGACCCUCUUCCCCACCUGGAACCAGAUGCUGCUGUUAAAUGACUUGGUGCUUUAUGGAGACCAGAGGAGUUGAUGGGGUCCCUGCCUUUAGUGGUGGUGGAGCUGUAUGACAACAAUGCAGUGGUUGGGAAUCUCUUCAGACUUGCCUUCUGCAAAUCACUGGGUAUGGAAACCUUACUGCAGAUGUGGAAAAACUGUGCAGAAAAUCCUGUGAUUCUGAUAAUGCCCAACGUGAAGAAAUGCUUUUGAAGGUUGGAAGACAUCCUCUUAGAGCCCAUAGCACAUCUGGGUUGUGAAUACCCAUGUACUUCUCAGUUUGGAGUUUCUCAGCACUGCAGACUACAAAGUAUGAGCAGAACCAGGACUCUCAGAUUGGUUCCCAAGGAACUUCCUUUGCUCCCAGACCAUGAAGUUCUCCCUCAUCUUGUCCCUCAGGAUUUGGUAUGUGUAGAUUCUCCCUGCACCAUGGUGUCCACUCCAACCUGGCAGCCAUUCACAAAUCCCUAUGAAAUAUCUCACAUAUAUCUUUGGAAAUAAUUUUGGUGAUGAAGUACAGCACAGUUUGUGUGAUGUUAAUAUACCCACCUCUUCUUUCUUAUGCUUCGUGUCCUCAAGAUAAGAUGUGAAAAUGUAGACUUGAACCCCUGAUGAGAUGGAAUGACCUGGAUCAUUCAACCGAGACAGAGGGAAGGCAUGCCACUGGCUGAAAUCCAAUUAGGUUAGACAUGAAAAUGAAAUAGCUACUGAUUUAGUCAGGGAGACUGGCAACAUCAUUUUAGCCGUAGGAGAGAUGAUGUUUGUGACAUUUGGUAUGAAACUUACUAAUAGUCUCUUCAGUUGAAGUAGUGAAUGAUGGUGCAAAAGAUAUGGCCAAGGAGGGUAACUGAAAAGGAAGUACAUCCCUAAGGUGGAGUCAAGAGCUGGCAAGAGUGAUGGACUUGGGUACCACUCUGUGGGAACAAAGCUGGGCCUAGUCAAGACCUAUCCUGGAGUAGGACGACCUGACAACAUCUACCCAGGAGAAUUUCAGAACUCAUAUGGUCCUCUGACUGCUACAUGUCUUCCACUUUUCCUCUUCUGUUUUAAAAUGAAGGGUUAAAGAAGAAAUAACUGGAAU
Long non-coding RNA from Physeter macrocephalus (sperm whale), 1122 nucleotides. RefSeq lists it as uncharacterized. Lineage: Eukaryota; Metazoa; Chordata; Mammalia; Artiodactyla; Physeteridae. The transcript has 9 exons. The record is from RefSeq and is a predicted model, not a curated record.